AUGCAAAUGAAGCAAAUUACUAUGCAAACCUGCAGCUCCUCUCGGAGCCUCAACUUGGGUGGCUUUCCUAACGCUGCUGAGAGGCGGAGCCGGAACUUGUUAGGGCAACUAUCCCUGGACAGUUCUCCUGGCUUUGCUUUCAUCCCGUCCGAUGGCCACCUGGACUGCGCAUGCCUCCAGACAUGGCAGGAGAAACUUCCAGAUGUCAGGGCAGACCGGAUUCCAGCCGUGAGAUGAGAAAUAUUGGCCAGACCAGGGUCUUCCAUCUGCUCUAAAGAAAUGGACCUGAAGGUUCUUCUGAUCUGAAUGAAGUUCCCAUGGAAACCCCUCAGACUGGGAAGCUGAGGCAGGAGAAUGCUAUCUUAGUGUUACUGUUGCUGUAAUGAAACCAUCAUGGCCAAAAGCAAUUUUCUUUGGAUUACACUUCCAUGUGAACUCAAACAAGGCAGGAGCUGAGGCAGAGGCCAUGGAGGGGUGCUGCUCACUGGCUUGCUCCCCAUGGCUUGUUCAGCCUGCUUUCUUAAAGAACUCUGGACCACCAGCCCAGGGAUGGCCCCGCCCACAACAGGCUGGGCCCUCCCAGAUCAAUCACUAAUUGAGAAAAUGACCUACAGGCAGAUCUUGUGGAGGCAUAUUCUCAAUUAAAGAUCCCUCCUUUUGGAUAACUUUAGCUUGUGUCAAGUUGACCUAAGAUUAGCCAUCACAGGUGACAAGUUCAAGACCAGCCUAACCUACAGAGUGAGUUCUAGGCUGAAAUUAUACAAACAAAACUAAUAUUCAAGGCCAGGGCUGGGAAGAUAGUUCAACUAGUCAGAUACUUGCUGUGCAAGCAAUGGGAGCCUGAGAUCAACCUUCAGAACCCACAGUGCUAGAGAGGCAGGCAGAGUCAGGAGGAUCCCUGGCCUCACUGGCCAGGCACCCUCACAUAAUCUAAAGUCCCAUGUUCCCUUGAGAUACCCUGCCUUGUUUCAAAAACAGAGCAAAACCAAGCAGAACCCACAAUGAACAGUUCCUGGAAAACACUGUCUAAGCUUGCCCUCUGUCCUUACACAUACACACACACACACACACACACACACACACACACACACACACACACACACACAUACACAUAUACACACACAUGAAUACUGCCCCCACUCCAAAACUAUCCACACCCACCAAGUCUCCAGUCUGGGACACACACCAUCAUACAUAAAAAUCCUGCUGUAAAAGGAUACAGGCCAACAUGUAAACAUAGGAAAUCAUGAAUGUAGACACAGGGAAUGCUCCUUGCAGAUACACCAGGACCUAUCCACCAUGCCUCGGCCCUCUCUCACACAAUAUCACACCCAUGGGCCCACACACUGUCAUUGUCUGAAGUGAGCCUAGGGCUAGCCCUAGAACUUAGAGGGUGUCCAUCGACAGGUCCCCCCACUUCCCUCAACCUCCGACUGACCAGAUGAUGGAAGCUGCCACAUCCCAAGAGAACUCUCCAUCACUGCUAGCCUGCCUGCUGAUAGGCAGGUACACCGAGGCCCGGCUGUGCAGAAGGGGUGACGUGUAAAUAAGAUGACGAUAACGAGGCCCACCAGCACCUCCUCCAGCCUCCACACCCAACACCAGGAUAGACCGUGAGUUGGCUCUGAGCCUCCCCUACACUCAGACCUCUGCAGGAUGCAAAAGCACCCUGGGCUUAGAUGGACGCCAACUCCCACUGGGAAGAGAGAAGAGCCACCUCCCAAAGCCAGGAUUGGGAGACCACAGGCAGCCCGCUACUCCCCUGCUGACCACUGAUCAAUGAAAGUCAACAGAAUGUCAGACAGAGAAGCAGAUCUGGGGACCCCACAAAUCUAUCACAAAACAUCUGCUUGAUGGACUCUCCCACCCAGUCCCUCCGGCCUAAUCUUUGUGACUCAGUCUCGUUUUCAUUCAUUCGUUCACUCACUCAUUUGNNNNNNNNNNUCCAUCCAUCCAUCCAUCCAUCCAUCCAUCCAUCCAUCCAUCCAUCCAUCCGUUUGUCUUCUAACUUAUUCUGCCAAUAAAAACAUGAAGGAAAUCA
This is a long non-coding RNA of Mus spicilegus (steppe mouse), 2041 nucleotides long. NCBI's taxonomy places the organism in Eukaryota, Metazoa, Chordata, Mammalia, Rodentia, Muridae. The record is from Ensembl.